Long non-coding RNA from Vespa mandarinia (Asian giant hornet), 859 nucleotides. RefSeq lists it as uncharacterized. Lineage: Eukaryota; Metazoa; Arthropoda; Insecta; Hymenoptera; Vespidae. The record is from RefSeq and is a predicted model, not a curated record.
CUCACUUAAUUUCCUUGCUGUUGGUGCCCCUGCCAUUUUGAAUUAUUUUGUGGUAUCGGUUGUAAUGAAGCUUUGUCAUCUCGUCAAUUACAUAUAAUCAGUAUAUUUUUUCUAACAUGCACACCAAUUUUAUAUACCAAUCGAUUAUCGGAAACACGAUUUCCACACCUAUCCAAGUAAUCAACGAAUAAAGAAAACUAUGAAGUACCCUAGAAAUAACAUUAACGUAACCACUCUGUGCGUACAACUUUCCGAGUAACGUAUAAACUGAUAAAACUACGCAGUAUGCUAGAAAUGAUAUUUGAAACGCAGCCGUCCUGCACGCACACAUGGCGUUGUAAGUAUACCAACUGUGGCGACCUCGUUGCGACUGUUACGCUUCCUAUGGCAAGACAUAUAACUAACACGUCUCGGCGCCACCAAAAACACACGUGGGAAAUCAACCAAAGUGAAAGACAACAAAGACGCCAGGAACAAAAAAGAAAUCAUUCAUUUUUUCUUUGAUUCUUUUUUAAACCGCAGCCAUACUUACUGGAAGUGGUUAGUUAGAUUAAACUAUUGUGUACUUGACAAAGUUAAACAAGUAUAUUACAAUUAUUGUUUAUUAUUGUGCAAAGUUUCUUUCUACAUAGUGAGUUGUCCACAAAAAAUUGAUACAACAAUGGAGGAAAGACUGCUAACAUUAAAUAAAUACAUAUGUUGGACGCAUUUCGAAAAAGUCAAAUUUAGCUCGAUAUUAUUUCUGAUAGAAUGAAUAUCAUGUAAAACAUUAUAUAUAUUUGUUACAUCGAAAGUAAUACUGAUUGCCGGUAUCUUAUCAUUAAUUUAUAUAACCUAAAUGUGUUUCUUAUUACUAAAA